This is a long non-coding RNA of Apis dorsata (giant honeybee), 376 nucleotides long. RefSeq lists it as uncharacterized. The transcript has 2 exons. Lineage: Eukaryota; Metazoa; Arthropoda; Insecta; Hymenoptera; Apidae. The record is from RefSeq and is a predicted model, not a curated record.
CGCGGUGGUUGCCGCCACCGCCACAGCCACCGCCAUCGCCACCGCCACCGCCAACGUCGUCGCCACAACGAAGCGAGAGUAGCCCGCCAGAUAUAUAAGAGAAGAAGUCGAUUCGAUUUUCUUCAUUGCGUAUUCACCUGAGAAGAUUACUCGAUGAUCCUUGUCGAAUGUAUUAGCGACGGGACACGAAAAUUCGUGGGGAAGAAUACUCUUUGAUAGACCUUGCGUGGGAAUUUCAUGCGUGCCUCGACGAUAGCACUUUUUCUCGAUUCCUCGUCGAAUUUCGUAAUAAGAUAUUAUUCUUUUAUUUCGAAUACGUAAAUGCGAAUACAUGCGCGCACGCAUACAUAUGUUAGAUUAUUAAACUUGAUGUUCU